CUGGGACUGGGAGACAACUCGACAGAGCCUCAGCGUCAGGAGCAGAUUUGCAGCAAAAGUAAAGUUUUGGAUGUAAGUGGCCGUAUAUAUAUAAGGCCCUGCAACGGACGAGAUGAAAGUGCGUCGGACGAGGGCUUCCCGGAUGCCGACAUGUGGCAGCGCCUGGACCCUUCCUCGAUCCGAUGGUUCGACGCACUUGCCAC
RNAcentral lists this long non-coding RNA (203 nucleotides) under Elaeis guineensis (African oil palm). Its description in RNAcentral is "long non-coding RNA (EGUI_LNC070244)". The record is from RNAcentral. Lineage: Eukaryota; Viridiplantae; Streptophyta; Magnoliopsida; Arecales; Arecaceae.